Molecule: ribosomal RNA, 440 nt
Filed under: uncultured bacterium
Lineage: Bacteria
Description: bacterial SSU rRNA
Rfam family: Bacterial small subunit ribosomal RNA
Source: RNAcentral
CCUACGGGGGGCAGCAGUAGGGAAUCUUCGGCAAUGGGGGGAACCCUGACCGAGCAACGCCGCGUGAGUGAAGAAGGUUUUCGGAUCGUAAAGCUCUGUUGUUAAGGAAGAACGAGUGUGAGAAUGGAAAGUUCAUACUGUGACGGUACUUAACCAGAAAGGGACGGCUAACUACGUGCCAGCAGCCGCGGUAAUACGUAGGUCCCGAGCGUUGUCCGGAUUUAUUGGGCGUAAAGCGAGCGCAGGCGGUUAGAUAAGUCUGAAGUUAAAGGCAGUGGCUCAACCAUUGUAGGCUUUGGAAACUGUUUAACUUGAGUGCAGAAGGGGAGAGUGGAAUUCCAUGUGUAGCGGUGAAAUGCGUAGAUAUAUGGAGGAACACCGGUGGCGAAAGCGGCUCUCUGGUCUGUAACUGACGCUGAGGCUCGAAAGCGUGGGGAGCG